Melopsittacus undulatus (budgerigar) is the source of this 635-nucleotide long non-coding RNA. RefSeq lists it as uncharacterized. NCBI's taxonomy places the organism in Eukaryota, Metazoa, Chordata, Aves, Psittaciformes, Psittaculidae. The record is from RefSeq and is a predicted model, not a curated record. The transcript has 3 exons.
GGCACCCCGCACCCGGUACCCCCCUGCUUGGGGCCGCCGCGUUUCUUCGCGACUUUGAGCCCCUUUUUCUUCCACCCUUCCCCUUCUCCUGCUCCUGUUCUUUUCCCUCCCGCUGCCCGCAGCCCGGACUGGAGCCUCCUCGGCAUAACCCCGGUGCCUCCGCAGCCCCUCGGCCGCAAUAGAUCAUACUAAAAAGAGAUUCUAGCAGGAAGCAACGAUGAAUGCAAUGUUUGCUUGAAAGAAGGUUAUGGAGAAUAUUUACUGGGUUAGCACGCGUACCCGCAUUGCAGAGGUCAUUUGAGAGGAGCAAGAAGCAACCACGGCCAUGUGGCCAAGGGCAGCUGAAAAAUGGAACAAACAUGUGCUGAGAGGAAUGACCAAGCACCUCUGCACUUCAGCUCUUCUGGGACAUGCAAAUCUGCUACAAAACAGUAUAGCCAUUCAGAUCCAUACAAAGAACUUUAUCCAGUAAGUUUUGUUGUUUUUUCUGUUGUGAGUGGUUAAUUUGUGUACUCAUUUUACAUUCCCUGUUAUUGCCUUUUACCUUCUCUAGUCUGAUCUUGUGUAGAAAGGGGCUCAUACACUUGUUCACUUCCACUAAAUGCAGUUUGGGGUGGCUGUCUUUUUAACUAUGA